UAAGUCUUCCAAAACCCUCUCAAAAUAAUUCUUAUUUCUUUGAAAAGAACUUCAAGCUCACUCUCAAAUUCUAACCUUCAAUCUUCAAAUGAAAUCCUAUUUUGCCCUAGGCCGUCGUUUUAGUGGCCAGAGGUCUGAUUUCGACCCUGUUUCACAAACGGUCGACCCCCGGGUAUCAAUCUAUCCUAUCCUAAGGAUUUUUUAGCCCAAUCCUAUUCUCAACUUAAUCCUAGUACCAACUAUACUAAUUAUUUACCUCUUCUAACCUGAUUUCAUCAAUUUAUGGUCUUUCUAAGAUAAUAGAAGAGUCUCUACAAUCUAGAAGGUAAAAUUAUUAACUAACCUUGAACCUACUAAUUAUUAAGAUAAGAAAAUAACCUAAGAGAUUUUUUAUAAAAGCCAUGUUUAGAUACCUCAAAUUAUAAUUGAACUGAAAUAAUUAGAUAUUAAUUAGAAAUUCAAUUUUGAUUAUAAUUUCACUAUAUAGUCAUAUUAUCUUACAAUACUGUUCCUUGUAUUCAAGUAAUUUUUUAAAAUUUCAAAAAAAGAAUAAUUGAUAAGGUUUAAGGACCUACUUGGUUGCAAGAAAUUAAUGUUUUUUUCCUUUCUUCUUAUGCUCCUUCUUCUCAAACCACAAUCUACAUUAGCAAAAUAAAUUUGAAACUAAAUAAAUAUAUUCAACUUGGAUUAUGAUUUGAACUUGUUGGUCAUUUUUAUUUUUAUUUUUUUCCCUUAUUCUAAAUUCCUUCUAUCUAAUCUUACUAUGUAUUUCUUCUUGAAUCUCUUCUUCUUUUGUUGAUGAAGAAUUUUCUUGAAUUCUUCUUAAGCUCCCUAUAUACUACUCAUAUAAAUAGAAGGGAUGGUAGGAGGGGUGGAGGGAGUGAUUAAAUCUCCCUAUCACUAGAAAAAAGCCUUCAACUAGAAAAUUUACAAGGAGAUGGAGUGAUGAAACCUUCAAGACGAGCUCCACUCUUGAUGCUUUGGAAGUGACAACCAAUCCUAAGAAAACCACCACAUGAUGCUUACACUAACACUGAACUAAUCCAAUGUUACUUAAGGUUAGGAAUAAUAAAUUAUUUAUUUUAAGGUUAGGAAUAAUAAAUUAUUUAUUUUAAGGUUAGGAAUAAUAAAUUAAUAAUAUUAUUAUUAUUUAUUAUUAAAAUUUUAUGAUUUAUUUAUUUUAUUUAUU
This 1189-nucleotide long non-coding RNA is filed under the name Physcomitrium patens. Its description in RNAcentral is "long non-coding RNA (PPAT_LNC002643)". Lineage: Eukaryota; Viridiplantae; Streptophyta; Bryopsida; Funariales; Funariaceae. The record is from RNAcentral.